UAGGCCGAGGGGCGUGCCCUGAGGCCGUGGAAAGACUGCAGCAGAGGGGAGGUGGUGCCGGUGAAGCAGAAAAUGGCGUCUGCGAAUGAGCAAAGUUUGUGACGCGGCGAGGUUUUUGCCUCUGGCGGAGGCUUUCUUCCAAGGAGAAGAGAAAGUGCAGCUCUCUCUUGAUUACCCUCCCCCUCACUCUCUCCAUCCGGCCAUAUUGGACUCUUGCUGUUGUUCGUCUAACGCCUCGAGCGGGCUCUCACCUGACGGCCUUUACAGGGAGGUUUGCCCGUCUUACAGAGUCACGGUACUGGAUGAACCAUCUACAGGCGUAAUUAAAUCAGAGAAGGCGGAAUGAGUCUCUUCUCUAGAAGAUCUAUGCAGGGUGUGGGUAGUUUCCUAACAGGUAAGCAAGCAUGGGGUUCUUUGUUCAGGUAAAGGAAAGAGGGUGAUUGGAUUCGGUGUUACAGAAUGGAUAGUAGUGUGUGAAGGGAAAGCAGCAACAUGUUCAUUGAAGGUAAGGACUAGCCUAGAAAUGUUGGGAUUAUUCUGUUGAUGGAGAAAGCUGCACAGCAUAGGGGAACCACUGAUUUAAUGAAGACCCUAGAACUAAAUCAACUGAAAUUUUCAUGUUCGCUUGGAGACUGAAUGCUGCUAUAGCUCUUGCAAAAGGUAGGAUAUGCCUUGGUGACUGGAUCUAAUUCUUUUGUAAUUAAGUCAGAUUUUUCAUGAACUAAAAGGAAAGGGGAUUUGUGACUCUAGAAUCCUGAAGGGGGGAAUCUUUUGCUAGACAGUCACUAUAGCAGUCUU
Long non-coding RNA from Molossus molossus (Pallas's mastiff bat), 798 nucleotides. RefSeq lists it as uncharacterized. The transcript is spliced from 3 exons. The record is from RefSeq and is a predicted model, not a curated record. NCBI's taxonomy places the organism in Eukaryota, Metazoa, Chordata, Mammalia, Chiroptera, Molossidae.